Molecule: transfer RNA, 75 nt
Filed under: Podarcis lilfordi (Lilford's wall lizard)
Lineage: Eukaryota; Metazoa; Chordata; Lepidosauria; Squamata; Lacertidae
Description: tRNA.Ile
Source: RNAcentral
UGUACGAUAACUCAGUUGGUUAGAGCAUGGUGCUGAUAACGCCAAGGUUGCAGGUUUGAUCCCCAUACAGGACAG